Molecule: ribosomal RNA, 387 nt
Filed under: uncultured bacterium
Lineage: Bacteria
Description: bacterial SSU rRNA
Rfam family: Bacterial small subunit ribosomal RNA
Source: RNAcentral
GACGAACGCUGGCGGCGUGCUUAACACAUGCAAGUCGAGCGGUAAGGCCCUUUCGGGGUACACGAGCGGCGAACGGGUGAGUAACACGUGGGUGACCUGCCCUCAGCUCUGGGAUAAGCCUGGGAAACCGGGUCUAAUACUGGAUAUGACUCCAUGACGCAUGUUGUGGGGUGGAAAGCCUUGUGCGGCUGAGGAUGGGCCCGCGGCCUAUCAGCUUGUUGGUGGGGAUGGCCUACCAAGGCGACGACGGGUAGCCGGCCUGAGAGGGCGACCGGCCACACUGGGACUGAGACACGGCCCAGACUCCUACGGGAGGCAGCAGUGGGGAAUCUUGCGCAAUGGGCGAAAGCCUGACGCAGCGACGCCGCGUGAGGGAUGACGGCCUGG